CUUAGUGUCAUUUAAUCAAAUUUCCUUUUCAUUUACGGACUCGACCGAUUCAGUUCGCUUAUCUGAAAGCUAUUUCUCAGAUUUCUUUUCGAAGAAAGAAGAAAGCUUCUUAACCAUGUAGCCCAGGAACGCCAACGAACUUACCAUUUUUCGUAUUAUAUAGGCAAAUAAACGCCAUGUCAUCGUGUGUUUGAUAAUGUUCGUAGUUUCGGGAACGAUGUCGAUAUGGGACUUGGACAAAGUGGUCGCGGAGGAGUUAGUACACUUGAUACUGGGCUUCACUGGGCAGGAAACAUCUUAUGGAGCCACUGGAACACACUACUGACUAUAUUGGCCGUCAUCUGGAGCCAUUCGAUUAAAUCGAAUGGCUGCAAAUGAUGGCCAAGACGAUCCGGACCUCGGAGCUAGUAGAGGAGCAUAAUUUAGCGCCAAGAUCAUAAAAUCUAGUAAGAUUCCGAGUGUCAGUAGGGUGCUCCAGUUACUCCACGAGAUGUUUCCUGCCCACUGAAUCGCUAGCAAGUUUACUAUCUCCUCUGCGACCACGUUGUCUAAAUCCCAUAUGAACAUCGCUCCCGAAACUAGGAACUUCAUCAAACAUACGGAGAUAUGACGUUUGUUUGCCCAUAUGAAACGAAUUAUGGUCGGUUCGUGGACGAUCCUGGGCGGCAUGGGUAGUCAAGGGAUUCGCCCUGAUGCUAUUACCCAGCACAGCUCCAGAGGCAGAUGGCCUGUUUGACCGCAUCCCCAGACAGAAGUCGAGCCCUAUUCUUGCCCUCAUCGGACGUGGGUGCCUCGCCUCCAAUCGCCAGGACUACAUAGGAUCCCUGGGCUUCUUCAAGAGCGUCCUUAAGCGCCGCCCUAAUAGGCCACUGGUUUUGGAGGAUGUGUGAUCUGGACAGUGUCCAGCGCUUCUUUUAGAAGGAGGAGAAUAGCUGCUGUCAGAAAUUCUUGCUUGGAAUGGCCAUCAUUCAGCUGAAUCAACUCGACCCACAACAUUAUAGGAAGGGUAUAAGUCUCCUCAAAGCGGCCUUUCAAAUUGAUGAACAGCAUCCAACAGUUCUAAGAAUUCUUGCUACCUAUUACUAUUCCAUUGGCGAUCAUUGAUGACUGUUACUCUGAAGAAAGCAAAAAAUCA
Long non-coding RNA from Drosophila suzukii, 1135 nucleotides. RefSeq lists it as uncharacterized. NCBI's taxonomy places the organism in Eukaryota, Metazoa, Arthropoda, Insecta, Diptera, Drosophilidae. The record is from RefSeq and is a predicted model, not a curated record.